AUGGCGGUUUUUGAAGCAUUCUACCGGCUGGCUGGCGGCGAUUUUGCAGCUCUCAGCAGAGCGAUCAUCGUGCGGCUGCCAAAACAGUCCGGCGCAACAAAACUUGCUGAUUUUCACCCGAUAAGCCUCAUUCACUUGGUGGCCAAACUGAUCGCGAAGGUGCUUUCCAUCAGACUUGUUGGCGUCCUCGAUCAGCUGGUCUCCCCCGCCCAGAGCGCUUUUCAAAAGAAGAAAGGGAUACAUGACAGCUUCCUCUACGUGCAAAACACAAUCCGAAUGCUCCAGAGGAAGAAAGCGCCGGCGCUGCUGCUGAAGAUCGACAUCGCAAAAGCCUUCGAUUCGGUUUCCUGGGAGUAUCUGUUGGAACUGUUGCAGUGCUUAAAUUUC
RNAcentral lists this ribosomal RNA (387 nucleotides) under Triticum aestivum (bread wheat). Its description in RNAcentral is "partial small subunit ribosomal RNA". Lineage: Eukaryota; Viridiplantae; Streptophyta; Magnoliopsida; Poales; Poaceae. The record is from RNAcentral.